GACGUAGGUGGCGAACGUUAUCCGGAAUUAUUGGGCGUAAAGGGUGCGUAGAUGGCCUGAUAAGUUAGCAGUGGGAAAUCGAGGCUCAACCUCGUGGAAGCUGGUAAUACUGUCAGGCUCGAGUGCAGGAGAGGUUAACGGAACUCCAUGUGGAGCGGUAAAAUGUGUAGAUAUAUGGAAGAACACCGGUAACGGCGAAGGCAGUUAACUAUUCUGUUACUGACGUUGAGGCACGAAAGCGUGGGGAGCAAAACGG
RNAcentral lists this ribosomal RNA (256 nucleotides) under uncultured bacterium. RNAcentral's name for it is "partial 16S ribosomal RNA". It matches the Rfam family "Bacterial small subunit ribosomal RNA", at positions 524 to 776 of the family's 1533-position model. The record is from RNAcentral.